GAAAUCCUCGGGCCACAUCCCCUCUGGGAGUGGGCCCCGGGCACAGCCUCAUCCCUAACAUUUGCAGGACCUGGAACUAGAGUACCACUGGAGAUUCAUAUACCUGAGUCUAAAUACUUAAAAUUCAAGCAAACAAACUGUUAAUUCAAGUAUUUUUCUAUUCUCCCAUCUUGACAAAUACAACUUUAUAAUAGCUUGAAAGUCCAGGUUCAAAUGUACAGUUCUUUGACUCUUUGGAGUUCCAAACUAGAGGUGGCAGUUGGAGGAGAGUCGGCUCUUGGCCUGCAGCCUUUCCCCCUUUCUCCUCUUCCCGCCUCUACUGCUCUUCCGCACCUGGAGCCUCAGGCACACAGGUGUGGGCACCCCAGCCUCCGCGUCUAGGAGCUAGUCACGCUUCCUACAAAGAGAGCCCUGGACUUCCCUGGUGGGCGCAGUGUUUAAGAACCAGCCUGCCAACGCGCCACAACUACGGAAGCCCGCGUGCCUAGAGCCCGUGCUCCACAACAAGAGAAGCCACCGCAAUGAGAAGCCCGCACACAGCAACGAAGAGUAGCCCCUGCUCGCCGCAACUAGAGAAGCCUGUGCGCAGCAACGAAGACCCAACGCACCCAAAAAAUAAAUUUUAAAAAUUUUAAAAAGGAAAGAAAAGGAAGAACCCUCUGGAGAAAUCACCUGUGACAUUCUUUUUUUUUUUUUUUUAAUAAUCAUUUAUAUUUCUUUGGCACUUUAUUUAUUUAGCGGUACGCGGGCCUCUCACUGUUGUGGCCUCUCCCGUUGCAGAGCACAGGCUCCGGACGCGCAGGCUCAGCGGCCAUGGCUCACGGGCCUAGCAGCUCCGCGGCAUGUGGGAUCUUCCCGGACUGGGGCACGAACCCGUGUCCCCUGCAUCGGCAGGCGGACUCGGCGAACUCUCAACCACUGCGCCACCAGGGAAGCCCCGUGACAUUCUUUAAAAAAAGAAAAAAAAGAGCCCUUGGCCGCUCCUCUGGCUUAGGGGCCCACACACCAGCAAGACAGUCAAUAUUCAGAAGAAUGGACUCAGGAAGAGUCCCGGGAAGGCCUGGGAAGUUGACUCAGAGUAUAGGGGCCGGAAAUUUCAGAGUCCCCCUGGAAUAAGGUGGAGAGGUUGGGCCACGGGCUUUGGGUGGGCUCAUCCCUUGGGCUCUGGGGACUUGCCACUAAGCAGGGUCUUCUAAAGCAGAGCCCAGGGCAGGGGUUCCUCCUACAUUGGUCUUAGGGCAGAACUAUCUGAGCACCUGUCCUCUUUUUUUUUUUCUUUUUUUUUGCGGUACGCGGGCCUCUCACCGCCGCGGCCUCUCCCAUUGCAGAGCACAGGCUCCGGACGCGCAGGCUCAGCGGCCAUGGCUCACGGGCCCAGCCUCUCCGCGGCACGUGGGAUCCUCCCGGACCGGGGCACGAACCCGCGUCCCCUGCAUCGGCAGGCGAACUCCCAACCACUACACCACCAGGGAAGCCCCCCGUCCUUUUUUUAUUGUUAACUUUUGAUGGAUGUUCAUACAUACAGAUAGGAAAGUACACAAGUUGUAGGUAUACAGCUUGAUGAAUUUUUACAAAUACAUUGAUCAAGGAUGUAUGCAUUUAUCAUAAAAAUUAUGUUGUAUUUUAUAUUUAAAAAACUUUCCUUAGGUAAGAAGUGGAUUUAUUUAGAGAGAUACACAUUCCAUAGACAGAAUUCAGUCCAUCUCAAAAGGUGAGAACAGCCUUGGGAAAAACACACUCCACAGACAGAGUUUGGGCCAUCUCAGAAGGUGAGAGGUCAAAAAUUAUUUUUUAAAAGGGAGUAACAAUAAAAAGAGAAGAAUAUUGAACACAAAAUUUAUUUAUUUAAUUAUUGGCCACGCUGCAGCUUGUGGGAAUUAGUUUCCUGAUCAGGGAUCAGACCCAGGGCCCCAGCAGCGGAAACGCACAGUCCUAACCACUGGACUGCCAGAGAAUUCCCUGAAUACAAAAUUUAGAAUAGUGGUUUCCUCUGGUGGGGACUCAGGGGAUGGGACAGAGAAGGACACAUUAUCAGUAAUGUUCUAAUUCCUAAAUUGAGCAGCAAGUUCACAGUUUAUUAUGCUUCUUGAUAUAUGUUUUCUUUUGUACAUCCUAAAAUCAACUCAAAGUCCUGCAGUCUGGGGGCAUUCUGCUUAAAGACAAAUUAACGCUGCAUAAUUCAAAGGCUCCUGGGAGCAUUCCUGUAAUUGAUCAUCUUGACUCAUCUGAAAACAAAACAAGUCUCUAUGAAGAAAGGAAAAAGGAAAGCAUAUGAAACAUUGUAAGACAAUUCAAGGUAAGGUUAUUUUUUAUCUUUUUUUUUUUACUGAUAAUAAAUAUGCAUGACAUAAUACAUAAAAUUUAAGCACUAUAUAAACCCAGAGCAAGAGAAGUAAACUCUCCCUAAAAUGCUCUCUUCUGCAGAGUCAAGACCAUCAACAACAUGGUGUGUAUUCCUCAACCUUUUCUAUAAGUACUAACAUUAUUGAUUUUUGCAAAAAUGGGACCAUUUUAGAGAAACGCUUCUGAACCUUGCUUUUUCACUUAGCAAUAGUCUCUUGAACAGCCUUUUCCCUCAUAAUGUCCUUCAGAGAGAAGGGCAGAUGGAUUUCCCCACAAAUCCCCACCACACUCAUCUCCCUAAAUCCAGCUCAAAUAUCACCUCCCUGAAUUCAUAGGGGGCCAGGGGCCAGGGACACCAUUGAUCUACUAAUCUGCCCCGGGAAAUAUCAUGCCCUAGGGAAUUUAGUCUCCCUUAUCACUAAAUCCAACUGUGUGUGUGUGUGGGGGGGGGUAGCCUCAUUUAUGUGAACAUAAAUGAGUUCUUAUAAAUGAGGAUAUCAUAUAUCCAUUCAUUUAACCAAAAUUUACGGAGUGCCUACCAUGUGCCAGUCAGGGGUGAAGUGGACAGAGAUCUCUCUCUUGUGGCACUCUUAUUCUAAAGGGGGCAUUCAGCAAAUCAGGAAACAAAUGAGACUUUUUUUUUUUUUUUUUUGGCCAUCCCGGGGACUUGCGGGAUCUUAGUUCCCCGACCAGGGAUCGAACCUGAGUCCCCUGCAUUGAGAGCGCAGAGUCUUAACCGCUGGACCACCAGGAAAGUCCCCAUGUUUUUGUUUGUUUGUUUGUUUUGCCAAUAAGACUAUAUCUGAUGGAGGUAAGCGUGGAGAUGAAAACCAGGUGUGUGAUGUGACAGAGAACGGCCAUUCAGGGGGAGGCACCAAACAUUCUCUACUGUGGCUGAUAUUCCCAGGCAGGAGUGAAAGAAGAUAUCCAUCAGACAACUAUGAACUUCUGUCCCAUUACCUGGCCGCGCAGCCUGUGGCCUCUUGUGCUCACGGCGACCACGAAGGGAUCCGGAGUGGACUUCUCUCCUUCACCUGAACUCUACGAGGAACUGGAGCCUUGGUACCAGCAGAGGCCCCUGGCACUCGUCUGCCUCCUUGGAGAGUCCAGAUGAAUUUGGCAAAGGAGGAUAAAAAAUCAGAAGUGAUUAUAGCUCCCUUUAAGGAGAAGCCUAUUGCAGGGAGAAGUGAACCAUCCUCUCUGCUUACGUACACACCCUGGACCCAAGCAGAACUUAGAGCCUUGGCUAAGGAAUUUCCUGAUCUAAGUCAGAAUCCAUUGGGAUUUGCUAAGGAAUUUGAGUUAACCGUCUGGACCUACAUGCCUGGGUUUUCAGAUCUAUAACAAUUAGUAUUUACUUAACUGGAAAUUAAAGGAAAUCUCACCCUAAGAAUGAGGAGGCUCUUUUAUUGCAUACACAGUUCAAUUAAGGUUAAAAAGCUGGCUUGGGCUUCCCUGGUGGCUCAGUGGUUAAGAAUCCACCUGCCAAUGCAGGGGACAUGGAUUCAAGCCCUGGUCCGGGAAGAUCCCACAUGCCGCAGAGCAACUAAGCCCGUGCACCACAACUACUGAGCCUGCGCUCUAGAGCCCGCGAGCCACAACUACUGAGCCCACGUGCCACAACUAUUGAAGUCCGUGCGCCUAGAGCCCGUGCUCUGCAACAAGAGAAGCCACCGAAAUGAGAAGCCCACACACCACAACGAAGAGUAGCCCCCGCUCGCCACAACCAGAGAAAGCCGGCGUGCAGCAAUGAAGACCCAAUGCAGCCAAAAAUAAAUAAAUAAAUUUA
Molecule: long non-coding RNA, 4132 nt
Organism: Orcinus orca (killer whale)
Lineage: Eukaryota; Metazoa; Chordata; Mammalia; Artiodactyla; Delphinidae
Exons: 3
Source: RefSeq, a predicted model, not a curated record